This 376-nucleotide ribosomal RNA is filed under the name Russula sp. 331-744. RNAcentral describes it as "eukaryotic LSU rRNA". The stretch from base 1 to 105 matches the Rfam family "5.8S ribosomal RNA", at positions 50 to 154 of the family's 154-position model. Lineage: Eukaryota; Fungi; Basidiomycota; Agaricomycetes; Russulales; Russulaceae. The record is from RNAcentral.
GAAAUGCGAUACGUAAUGUGAAUUGCAGAAUUCAGUGAAUCAUCGAAUCUUUGAACGCACCUUGCGCCCCUUGGUAUUCCGAGGGGCACACCCGUUUGAGUGUCGUGAACACCCUCAACCUUCUUGGUUUCUUGACCAGGAAGGCUUGGACUUUGGAGGUUUUUCUUGCUGGCCUUUCUUUCAAGCCAGCUCCUCCUAAAAGGAUUAGUGGGGCUCGCUUUGCCGAUCCUUGACGUGAUAAGUAUGCUUCUACGUCUUGGGUUUCAAAUGAACCUGCUUCAAACCGUCUUUGAAUAAAGACAACGUUCGAGUUGCAUUGUGACUCAAACACAGUAACCUUGACCUCAAAUCGGGUGAGACUACCCGCUGAACUUAA